AGCGAACGCUGGCGGCAGGCCUAACACAUGCAAGUCGAACGAAUUCUUCGGAGUUAGUGGCGGACGGGUGAGUAACACGUGGGAACGUGCCUUUUGGUUCGGAAUAACUCAGGGAAACUUGUGCUAAUACCGAAUGUGCCCUUCGGGGGAAAGAUUUAUCGCCAUUAGAGCGGCCCGCGUCUGAUUAGCUAGUUGGUGAGGUAACGGCUCACCAAGGCGACGAUCAGUAGCUGGUCUGAGAGGAUGACCAGCCACACUGGGACUGAGACACGGCCCAGACUCCUACGGGAGGCAGCAGUGGGGAAUCUUGCGCAAUGGGCGAAAGCCUGACGCAGCCAUGCCGCGUGAAUGAUGAAGGUCUUAGGAUUGUAAAAUUCUUUCACCGGGGACGAUAAUGACGGUACCCGGAGAAGAAGCCCCGGCUAACUUCGU
RNAcentral lists this ribosomal RNA (432 nucleotides) under uncultured bacterium. RNAcentral's name for it is "partial 16S ribosomal RNA". It matches the Rfam family "Bacterial small subunit ribosomal RNA", at positions 29 to 506 of the family's 1533-position model. The record is from RNAcentral.